GGGGGAGGAGUCAGAAUCUGCAUUUGAACAAGAGCCUGGAGAGGUUUCCAGGCAGGAUAAGCAGCCCUAGCAGAGAUGCUUUGACUCUGGGUGCCUUGCUGACCCUAGAGGGUCUGUCCCUCCCAGGGCUGCCAAGUCCUGGAGGCAGUAAACUCGGUAAAGGCAGGAGCAUAACCUUCAUACACAAACUAACCAGCCCAGACAUGGACACCAUGUAUCCUCUAUCUGGCUCUCACACUCUGGACUGCUUUUCACCCACCCUGCUCACCCUGGCACCGGACAACCAGAGACAGCCCUCACACCCCAGAGACCUCUGAAAUGAUCCAAACCAGCCAGCCCCAGCCUGCUUACCUUGCUCCUCCUGUUCCUCCCCACAGAAACCACAACAAAGUUCUGAAGGCUGCACGUCUGGAAUUAAUGUGUCAUUGAGCCAUACCUGCUACAAAACAUCCAGGAGAGACUCUGUUCUUGCCUCUGCCAGCUUCUGGAAGCCCCAGAUGUUCCUUGGCUUGGACAGCACAACUCCAGUUUGCUUCAGCCUUCACAUGACCCUCUUCCCUCUGUGUCUUUGUUCGAAUCCCUCUCUUCUUAUGUGGACACCAGUCAUGUUGGAUUAAAAGCCCACGCCACUCCAGCACAACCUCAUCUUAACUACUGACAUCUGCAACAACCCCAUUCCCCAAUAAAGUCACGUUGUGAAGUAUGUGGGGGUUAUGUAUCUUUUGUGGGGAUGCAAUUCAAGCCAUAACACAUAGUAAGAAUCUUAUGGGAAACUCCUUGGAAGGCAUGGUCUGUGUCUUCCUCACCAUCUUUCACAGGCCAAUCCUGAUGCAGAAUUAAGAUCACAGGCUGCUGUAAUAAAUAGCAUUGUGGAAAUUGAAUGUUAGAGAAAAUCUGUUAAAUGAAUGAAAAUUAAUUUUUGAUGGUCACAGGCCUGAUCCAGGUAUUAG
Bos taurus (domestic cattle) is the source of this 950-nucleotide long non-coding RNA. The record is from Ensembl. NCBI's taxonomy places the organism in Eukaryota, Metazoa, Chordata, Mammalia, Artiodactyla, Bovidae.